Molecule: ribosomal RNA, 207 nt
Filed under: uncultured bacterium
Lineage: Bacteria
Description: partial 16S ribosomal RNA
Rfam family: Bacterial small subunit ribosomal RNA
Source: RNAcentral
CACGUAGGCGGACAUUUAAGUCAGGGGUGAAAUCCCGGGGCUCAACCCCGGAACUGCCUUUGAUACUGGGUGUCUCGAGUCCGGAAGAGGUGAGUGGAAUUCCGAGUGUAGAGGUGAAAUUCGUAGAUAUUCGGAGGAACACCAGUGGCGAAGGCGGCUCACUGGUCCGGUACUGACGCUGAGGUGCGAAAGCGUGGGGAGCAAACA